Molecule: long non-coding RNA, 285 nt
Filed under: Lathyrus oleraceus (garden pea)
Lineage: Eukaryota; Viridiplantae; Streptophyta; Magnoliopsida; Fabales; Fabaceae
Description: Pisum sativum (pea) long non-coding RNA (PSAT_LNC017682)
Source: RNAcentral
UUUCAUAUUCAAGAUAUUCCACGUAUUCAUUCAUUCAUUCAAUUAUAAUCAUCCAUUUACAUGGCAUGUGGAUAAAGUAUCCCAUCACAUGAAUACUUGGAAGUUCUAAGGAAAAGGACGACUAUGUCUCACUACAAGGACACCAAUUUUCAUUCACAUCCAGUGUUAUAUUCAUUACAAAUCAUGGGAUUUUUCUAAGCUUACAAAUUUAGAUAAUGGACAUUGGCUAGUGUUGCCCAAUGCAUGGAACAGCUGCGCCAGAGCUCGUCUUCUGUGCAUGAAAAA